This 468-nucleotide ribosomal RNA is filed under the name uncultured bacterium. Its description in RNAcentral is "partial 16S ribosomal RNA". It matches the Rfam family "Bacterial small subunit ribosomal RNA", at positions 28 to 507 of the family's 1533-position model. The record is from RNAcentral.
GACGAACGCUGGCGGCGUGCUUAACACAUGCAAGUCGAACGGAAAGGCCCUGCUUUUGUGGGGUGCUCGAGUGGCGAACGGGUGAGUAACACGUGAGUAACCUGCCCUUGACUUUGGGAUAACUUCAGGAAACUGGGGCUAAUACCGGAUAGGAGCUCCUGCUGCAUGGUGGGGGUUGGAAAGUUUCGGCGGUUGGGGAUGGACUCGCGGCUUAUCAGCUUGUUGGUGGGGUAGUGGCUUACCAAGGCUUUGACGGGUAGCCGGCCCGAGAGGGUGACCGGCCACAUUGGGACUGAGAUACGGACCAGACGCCUACGGGAGGCAGCAGUGGGGAAUAUUGCACAAUGGGCGGAAGCCUGAUGCAGCAACGCCGCGUGCGGGAUGACGGCCUUCGGGUUGUAAACCGCUUUCGCCUGUGACGAAGCGUGAGUGACGGUAAUGGGUAAAGAAGCACCGGCUAACUACGUG